CGCAAGCUUCGCAGACGUGUCCGGGUCGUUCGCUCUUAAAGGGGCCGGCGCUCUACCUGGCGAAGCCACCCAGCCCUGCCUCCCUGGAGCCUGCUGUCUGCGCCCUGCAGAAGUCCUGACGGCGGCGUACCCCGGGAGACCCCGGCAGCCCCGAGAAGCCAGCCGCCGCCGUCAUUCCAGUCAGAAAAAUGGCCUGCGGGGCACGCGCCGGUGCGCCCUGCCAACCAUGUCCGGACUUUGGACUUUGGACAGGAAGGCGUCCCGGCUCAGCUGUGGUUUGGUCAGAGUUUAACCUGUCCCACGCAAGAGAACCUCGAUCUGGUUUCCUCGCUUACCUGAGUCACCUGGGCACUUGUUAGGCCCAGCUGUCUUCAGUUCCAUUAGCGGCCAGUUACCCAAAUGCUAAAUCAAAUCCUCGUGGACCUUGGCCUGGCGCGGUGCGUGCUGUUUUCCUCCGAGAAGAGGAGCUAAAAGUAGCACCUUGCCUCCUAAAUUUAGGACUCUAUUUUUAGGACCGUCGAAUAAAAUGCCAAGUGCUGGAUUUGUUCGUAGGAGAUGGUUUUAGCUGACGUAGGUGUAAAGGAUAACCCAUCUCAUAUAUAUGUCUUCUUUGCCAGCAUGAUCAUUCUCAUUAUAUUCUGCCUUCUCACUCAAGUACUUUGGUGAAGCAACUCAAAAAGGAGCAGAUACUUCCUCCUAAACAAGUCACCCGAAAGAACUCAAUAGAUGAACAAAAUCUUAAAUCCUUAGGAAAUUUUCCUGAUGUAACCUCUUGUAGCAACGAAUUGUUAUGCCAUUUAAAAAAUCAAAAACUGGCCCAAGUUCACAGCAAGUGAUUUUUCAGGACCAAAAUGCGGCCUAGCUUUUCAGAACUCAGAUUGCUAUUUCUCCUUUGCCACAUCAGCCUGAGGAGUUUCAGGAAAUGCUAAUAUCAGAGUAGCCGAAAUUACUUAGUAAUUCUCCAUUGUUAAGGUAUAAGGUAUUACACAACUUUCAUACGUGUUAGACACUGUGUAUUAAAAUUAUGUGAAUAGUUCAUUAAAGUCAAAACAAGCAUAAUCAAACUUUUAUCUUUAGAAUUUCACAGACUCCUAGAACAAUGUGUAUGCCUCAAUUAGAACAUUGUAUUACUCAAUAAAAAUUCUUCAAUGUGUCUGAACAUU
Molecule: long non-coding RNA, 1163 nt
Organism: Pan troglodytes (chimpanzee)
Lineage: Eukaryota; Metazoa; Chordata; Mammalia; Primates; Hominidae
Exons: 2
Source: RefSeq, a predicted model, not a curated record